RNAcentral lists this transfer RNA (69 nucleotides) under marine eukaryotic metagenome. It matches the Rfam family "tRNA", at positions 5 to 66 of the family's 71-position model. From Rfam's summary of the family: Transfer RNA (tRNA) molecules are approximately 80 nucleotides in length. Their secondary structure includes four short double-helical elements and three loops (D, anti-codon, and T loops). Further hydrogen bonds mediate the characteristic L-shaped molecular structure. tRNAs have two regions of fundamental functional importance: the anti-codon, which is responsible for specific mRNA codon recognition, and the 3' end, to which the tRNAs corresponding amino acid is attached (by aminoacyl-tRNA synthetases). tRNAs cope with the degeneracy of the genetic code in two manners: having more than one tRNA (with a specific anti-codon) for a particular amino acid; and 'wobble' base-pairing, i.e. permitting non-standard base-pairing at the 3rd anti-codon position. The record is from RNAcentral.
CGGGUGUAGCUCAGCUGGUUAGAGCACUAGAUUGUGGAUCUAGGGGUCGUGGGUUCAAAUCCCAUCACU